Long non-coding RNA from Oncorhynchus kisutch (coho salmon), 772 nucleotides. RefSeq lists it as uncharacterized. The transcript has 2 exons. The record is from RefSeq and is a predicted model, not a curated record. Lineage: Eukaryota; Metazoa; Chordata; Actinopteri; Salmoniformes; Salmonidae.
CCUGGGGAGAAGGAACAUGAAAAGAGAAAGAGAUAUUACGGACGAUACACACGAGAUGCAUGAAAAGCUCGUCCCCAUUCGAUAAGAAUGACAGCGUUCCAUUGGGUGAGUGACGUCAUCUAAGGAAAUGCUGGAUAUUAAAUCAGUCCGAGGCAACAUUUAGUUUACAGACUGUUGAUACUGAAUCUCAAGUCACCAUAUCUACCCAAAUGUUAUGCCUUCCAAGAAUUCUCCACAUAUACACAACCAUUGACCCCCAGCCUUGAGGUGCUAAAUCAUGCUGCGUUCUGCUACUAAAGAGAGGGGGAGAGAAAGUUGGAACAGGGCCAGAGAGAGAGCGAGAGGCCACAGGGAGGAGGACGACCUUCUACCGACAGGAAAUAGGAAGCGCCCCACUCUUCCUGUGGUACAUGGACUUCGUAGAAACACCCCACAUACGAAUUGCAUAGAACACUAAAUAACCAACUGAUUACCGCAAAACUGCCAAAUUGGAGGAGGCAAGUGGAAGGGAGCGAAGCUGCCUAUGACAUCAUUUUAGAGGAUUUGGCAGUACGUCCAACCGGCCUCACAACCGCAGACCACGUGUAACCACGCCAGCCCAGGACCUCCACAUCCAGCUUCUUCACCUGCAGGAUCGUCCAAUGGGUGCUGAGGAGUAUUUCUGUCUGUAAUAAAGCCCUUUUGUUUGAAAAUACUCAUUCUGAUUGGCUGGGCCUGGCUCCCCAGUGGGUGAUCAAAAUGGCCACCUGACUAUUUACAAGUCGAUCAACCC